This 1709-nucleotide ribosomal RNA is filed under the name Escherichia coli BIDMC 79. RNAcentral describes it as "bacterial LSU rRNA". It matches the Rfam family "Bacterial large subunit ribosomal RNA", at positions 1239 to 2925 of the family's 2925-position model. Lineage: Bacteria; Pseudomonadati; Pseudomonadota; Gammaproteobacteria; Enterobacterales; Enterobacteriaceae. The record is from RNAcentral.
UUCUGUAAGCCUGUGAAGGUGGCCUGUGAGGGUUGCUGGAGGUAUCAGAAGUGCGAAUGCUGACAUAAGUAACGAUAAAGCGGGUGAAAAGCCCGCUCGCCGGAAGACCAAGGGUUCCUGUCCAACGUUAAUCGGGGCAGGGUGAGUCGACCCCUAAGGCGAGGCCGAAAGGCGUAGUCGAUGGGAAACAGGUUAAUAUUCCUGUACUUGGUGUUACUGCGAAGGGGGGACGGAGAAGGCUAUGUUGGCCGGGCGACGGUUGUCCCGGUUUAAGCGUGUAGGCUGGUUUUCCAGGCAAAUCCGGAAAAUCAAGGCUGAGGCGUGAUGACGAGGCACUACGGUGCUGAAGCGACAAAUGCCCUGCUUCCAGGAAAAGCCUCUAAGCAUCAGGUAACAUCAAAUCGUACCCCAAACCGACACAGGUGGUCAGGUAGAGAAUACCAAGGCGCUUGAGAGAACUCGGGUGAAGGAACUAGGCAAAAUGGUGCCGUAACUUCGGGAGAAGGCACGCUGAUAUGUAGGUGAAGCGACUUGCUCGUGGAGCUGAAAUCAGUCGAAGAUACCAGCUGGCUGCAACUGUUUAUUAAAAACACAGCACUGUGCAAACACGAAAGUGGACGUAUACGGUGUGACGCCUGCCCGGUGCCGGAAGGUUAAUUGAUGGGGUUAGCGGUAACGCGAAGCUCUUGAUCGAAGCCCCGGUAAACGGCGGCCGUAACUAUAACGGUCCUAAGGUAGCGAAAUUCCUUGUCGGGUAAGUUCCGACCUGCACGAAUGGCGUAAUGAUGGCCAGGCUGUCUCCACCCGAGACUCAGUGAAAUUGAACUCGCUGUGAAGAUGCAGUGUACCCGCGGCAAGACGGAAAGACCCCGUGAACCUUUACUAUAGCUUGACACUGAACAUUGAGCCUUGAUGUGUAGGAUAGGUGGGAGGCUUUGAAGUGUGGACGCCAGUCUGCAUGGAGCCGACCUUGAAAUACCACCCUUUAAUGUUUGAUGUUCUAACGUGGGCCCCUUACCGGGGUUGCGGACAGUGUCUGGUGGGUAGUUUGACUGGGGCGGUCUCCUCCUAAAGAGUAACGGAGGAGCACGAAGGUUGGCUAAUCCUGGUCGGACAUCAGGAGGUUAGUGCAAUGGCAUAAGCCAGCUUGACUGCGAGCGUGACGGCGCGAGCAGGUGCGAAAGCAGGUCAUAGUGAUCCGGUGGUUCUGAAUGGAAGGGCCAUCGCUCAACGGAUAAAAGGUACUCCGGGGAUAACAGGCUGAUACCGCCCAAGAGUUCAUAUCGACGGCGGUGUUUGGCACCUCGAUGUCGGCUCAUCACAUCCUGGGGCUGAAGUAGGUCCCAAGGGUAUGGCUGUUCGCCAUUUAAAGUGGUACGCGAGCUGGGUUUAGAACGUCGUGAGACAGUUCGGUCCCUAUCUGCCGUGGGCGCUGGAGAACUGAGGGGGGCUGCUCCUAGUACGAGAGGACCGGAGUGGACGCAUCACUGGUGUUCGGGUUGUCAUGCCAAUGGCACUGCCCGGUAGCUAAAUGCGGAAGAGAUAAGUGCUGAAAGCAUCUAAGCACGAAACUUGCCCCGAGAUGAGUUCUCCCUGACUCCUUGAGAGUCCUGAAGGAACGUUGAAGACGACGACGUUGAUAGGCCGGGUGUGUAAGCGCAGCGAUGCGUUGAGCUAACCGGUACUAAUGAACCGUGAGGCUUAACCUU